CCUACGGGUGGCAGCAGUGGGGAAUAUUGCACAAUGGGCGAAAGCCUGACGCAGCGACGCCGCGUGAGGGAUGAAGGUCUUCGGAUCGUAAACCUCUGUCAGCAGGGAAGAACGGUCACUGUGCUAAUCAGCAGUGAAUUGACGGUACCUGCAAAGGAAGAACCGGCUAACUCCGUGCCAGCCGCCGCGGUAAUACGGAGGGUGCGAGCGUUAAUCGGAAUUACUGGGCGUAAAGCGCUCGUAGGCGGUAUGUCAAGUCAAGGGUGAAAUCCCCGGGCUCAACGUGGGAACUGCCUUUGAAACUGGCAAACUGGAGUGUGUGAGAGGAUAGUGGAAUUCCAGGUGUAGGAGUGAAAUCCGUAGAUAUCUGGAGGAACAUCAGUGGCGAAGGCGACUAUCUGGCACAUAACUGACGCUGAGGAGCGAAAGCGUGGGUAGCAAACAGGAUUAGAUACCCUUGUAGUC
This 465-nucleotide ribosomal RNA is filed under the name uncultured bacterium. RNAcentral describes it as "partial 16S ribosomal RNA". It matches the Rfam family "Bacterial small subunit ribosomal RNA", at positions 338 to 795 of the family's 1533-position model. The record is from RNAcentral.